ACUCCUGCGGGAGGCAGCAGUGGGGAAUUUUGGACAAUGGGCGAAAGCCUGAUCCAGCAAUGCCGCGUGAGUGAAGAAGGCCUUCGGGUUGUAAAGCUCUUUUGUCAGGGAAGAAACGGUGAGAGCUAAUAUCUCUUGCUAAUGACGGUACCUGAAGAAUAAGCACCGGCUAACUACGUGCCAGCAGCCGCGGUAAUACGUAGGGUGCAAGCGUUAAUCGGAAUUACUGGGCGUAAAGCGUGCGCAGGCGGUUUUGUAAGUCUGAUGUGAAAUCCCCGGGCUCAACCUGGGAAUUGCAUUGGAGACUGCAAGGCUAGAAUCUGGCAGAGGGGGGUAGAAUUCCACGUGUAGCAGUGAAAUGCGUAGAUAUGUGGAGGAACACCGAUGGCGAAGGCAGCCCCCUGGGUCAAGAUUGACGCUCAUGCACGAAAGCGUGGGGAGCAAACAGGAUUAGAUACCCUUGUAGUCCCAUGA
This 474-nucleotide ribosomal RNA is filed under the name uncultured organism. RNAcentral describes it as "partial 16S ribosomal RNA". It matches the Rfam family "Bacterial small subunit ribosomal RNA", at positions 335 to 800 of the family's 1533-position model. The record is from RNAcentral.